Molecule: ribosomal RNA, 253 nt
Filed under: uncultured bacterium
Lineage: Bacteria
Description: partial 16S ribosomal RNA
Rfam family: Bacterial small subunit ribosomal RNA
Source: RNAcentral
UACGUAGGUGGCAAGCGUUGUCCGGAUUUACUGGGCGUAAAGAGCGCGCAGGCGGUCGUUCAAGUCGCGUGUGAAAGCCCCCGGCUCAACUGGGGAGGGUCACGCGAUACUGAUCGACUCGAAGGCAGGAGAGGGUAGUGGAAUUCCCGGUGUAGUGGUGAAAUGCGUAGAUAUCGGGAGGAACACCUGUGGCGAAGGCGGCCCCCUGGUUGGAUACUGACGCUGAGACGCGAAAGCGUGGGGAGCAAACAGG